This 604-nucleotide long non-coding RNA is filed under the name Brassica rapa (field mustard). RNAcentral's name for it is "long non-coding RNA (BRAP_LNC003146)". The record is from RNAcentral. Lineage: Eukaryota; Viridiplantae; Streptophyta; Magnoliopsida; Brassicales; Brassicaceae.
ACGAUAACUAUAUAACAAAUCGCAAAAAUAAUUAACACUGCUAAUAACGUAUUAAUUGUUUUUUAUUAUAUCAUAUAAUCUGGAAAGCUUAGAGAAAGAACAAAAGUUAUAACCAAACAGAGAUAGUUGUCGGCUAGAGACGUCAGAGACGAAACUAACCUUCAAAGUGAGACGUUGAAAGGCUAUUAGAAGUGUAAGACAAUGUUUUGUCGGAGGGUAAAAUCGAUAAUACGAAUCAGAUAGGUUGCGCGUGGAUUGAGGAGAUCUAUGUCUGGUUCAGUUCUAUCUUUACCUCUCUAACCAAACGCUCCAAAACACAUGCCGUGUCGCGUCCUUUUAUUUACUUUUUUUUUUUUUGUAAUCGUUAGGACAAAUUUCAAUGUCCUUCGAAUAUGUAAUAGGAUCAAAUGUUGUAUUUCUGUCUGGAAAUCGUGUAUCUGAAACUGUUCAUAUAGUAAAAGUUUCACAUGAGUUUAUUCGAAAUGUGAUUAAUUAUUUGCAUAGUUGGGACUUUAAAGAAAAAAGAUAGCUGUUGUGAAAUUUCGUUCUAACACACCAGUUUAAAAAUCAUCUAUCAUUGGCAUAACUGAUAACUCUAUAUUAA